GGGGAUGACAGGCUUCGACGGAAGAGGCUGGUCCCGGACUGCGAGCCGAGAGGCGCCGAUCUCGUAAAAUCAGCGCAAAACCUAAAGUGCCAACCGCACUGACUAUGCUGCUCUUCCUCUCGCUGCCUAGUGCAGGGAGUGCAUGAGCGCACAUCGGCCCCCAAGGGGCCGCGUCCUCUCGCUUCCGCUCUCUGGCCGGAGGCGGGAAGGGCGACACAAAGCCAGAGUGCGGUGCACGAGGCCGCUAAGUGCGCCUAAGAGGGGCUUUCGGGCCCCAGCGGCUGGUUGAGCGAACCCCUGGGUCGCUUGUGGGGCGCUCAACGAGGAGAAACAAGCGACUACGCUCGUAGAGGUCCGCGGGCUUAAUCUUUCGGACGCGGGUUCGAUUCCCGCCAUCUCCACCA
This 404-nucleotide transfer-messenger RNA is filed under the name Anaerolineales. Its description in RNAcentral is "J130 sp003694235 Standard tmRNA". It matches the Rfam family "transfer-messenger RNA". From Rfam's summary of the family: Bacterial tmRNA, also known as 10Sa RNA or SsrA, is named for its dual tRNA and mRNA-like properties. Its role is to liberate the mRNA from a stalled ribosome. Lineage: Bacteria; Bacillati; Chloroflexota; Anaerolineae. The record is from RNAcentral. RNAcentral also lists the same sequence under 1 other name.